UUUCGGCCCUCAUCCUACCAAGUAUACGGUGGUGGCGAUGGCGGUCGAAACCUCGAAAUCAUAGAUGGCAACGUGUUGAAAUACGUGCAUAAGCCUUGCUACGCUUCAACUUACCCUCCUUCCUUUGAUCAUCAUCAUCAAAAACAGACUGUUCCUAAGAAGAAAAAGAAGUCAUCGUCUCUUUCAAUCAAGUCAUGGUGGAAUGAUCCAAAGAUGAAAAGGAAGAUGAGACUUACGGGCUAUAAAAUGUACGCCAUUGAAGGGAAGAUCAAAACUUCUUUGAAGAAAGCACAUAAGUGGAUCAAGAAGAAGUAUCGUAGUAUCGUGCAUGGUUACUAAUAUAUGAGAGUGGGAGAUAUAUAUGUUUGAUCAUAAAGAAAACACAAGUAUUUUCCAUUUUUUUUUUGUGUUCUUGCUUGGAUGUGCAUCGUUUUAUAUUUUUUAUUUUUUUCUUCGUUGCUGUUGCUGCACUUUUUAGACCACUUGUAAUAGAAAAAAAAUUUAUGUGUUUUCUUUGGUUAUUUUCUUUCAUGAAGAACUUGUAACGUGUUGCAUGAUGAAAAUAUAUGAACAAUAUAUUGAAAUUAUUCACAUGUAACCCCUAAUCAUGAGUCCAUGAAUUUAAUAUGUUUUUCUAACCGUACAACGAAGUAUAUACUAACCCAAGUUAAUUACUAUUUAAUAAUAAUAAUAAUUAUACUAGAAGUCAUAAAUGAGAGAUUACCUGUAAAAAGAGUUGAAUCGGAACGAUGGAGACCACCAGAACUACCCUUACCCAAGAUAAGUUUUGAUGCUGCUUUUCAAAGCUAUACAAAGAAAUCAUGCUCGGGGAUAGUGGGCAAAAAUUCAGAAGGGUCGAUUUUGGGUUCGAGAAUGAUUAUCAACAAUCACGUACUUACUCCUUUCGCGGCAGAAGCGCUUGCAUGCCUCCAGACAAUUCAAGUGGGCCUUUAUCUGGGUUCCCUUACUAUAGUAAGGAAACUACAUGCACAAAACGAAGAUGGAUCUGUCAUUAGUGCGUAUAUUACAGAUGCAAAAUCUUUGAGCGAAAUCUAUGACACAUGUAUUUUUAAACAUGUACUAAGGAAAGAGAACGGAUUGGCACAUCUCCUAGUUACGGAAGGGAUUUGAAGGGGCGAAACAACUUAUCUGGUGGAAAGGGUGCCUUUGUUUGCUGCUAGUGCGGUGGAAAAGGAUAGGCGGAGGUCAGACCCGUCGAAUUAGCUGUUGAUGGCUGUGAUUGCUCGAGAGAUAGAGGUCUUUGGAUUUUGCAUUUUCUGAAAGAGACAGUUUGUUUUCCUAAUAGGCUCCUGUGGUUGAGCUCAUUAAAUCGGCUAGGUUCUCUUUGGUUUUAUCGAAGAGAUGCUUUUAUUUUCUAGGAAAUUGUUAGUUUUUCUUUAUCUUCUACUAACUAUUAUUGUUGUUUUUUUUUUAACCCUAUUAAUAAAUGAAAUUCAG
This 1458-nucleotide long non-coding RNA is filed under the name Gossypium barbadense (sea-island cotton). RNAcentral's name for it is "long non-coding RNA (GBAR_LNC010861)". The record is from RNAcentral. Lineage: Eukaryota; Viridiplantae; Streptophyta; Magnoliopsida; Malvales; Malvaceae.